Mus musculus (house mouse) is the source of this 3478-nucleotide RNA transcript. It is a transcript of the gene named ankyrin repeat and zinc finger domain containing 1, with no coding region annotated. The transcript has 10 exons. Lineage: Eukaryota; Metazoa; Chordata; Mammalia; Rodentia; Muridae. The record is from RefSeq and is marked validated.
CCCCUUCGCCUCUCCGUAGCCGCCGAAUUGUUGUGGUGUUGCAGAAAUCCAGUUUUCGAACGUGGUCUUGCGUGUGGCUCGGCUCUCGGGACAUUAGGGGAGGCUUCUGAGGGAGGGUCGAGUGACGAGGCUUGGUGUCGGUGCUAGUAGUUCCGUUGGGUAGACUCUGACUGGUAACUCCUGGACUCGAAUUGGGUCUUGGUGCUCUCCAUUUCACUCCUGAAGAUCCUCACGUAUUUACCGCAGAACUGAUUUGUGGGAGCGGGUAAAGGCUGAAGGGCAUUUCUGCGUGGGGAUGGCCAAACCGGCUGGCGAUGCGGCAGUAGGAUCUCGUUCUGGAGAGUUGUUUCUGCCCUCCGUUUCUUCUUCAGCCACGUCGCCAGCUCCAAGUGCAGCCUCAGCCCCUGCCUCCGUUUCCCUGUUGUCCCUCAACGGGGAAGCUCCACUCAUUCGGGGCCUGAGCCUGGUGAGCCAAGCUCCUGGGGAGGCUCUGGCCUGGGCGCCGCGUACUUCCUGUCCAGGAGAGAACACAAGCUCGGGGGGAAAAGUAUCUCCAUAUUCUCUGGAAAUUUCAGAGAAAUUAUUUUGUUCAGCCUGUGACCAGAUCUUCCAGAACCACCAGGAACAGAGAGAACAUUAUAAGCUUGAUUGGCAUCGCUUUAACUUAAAACAACGUCUCAAGAACAAGCCUCUCCUGUCUGCUUCAGACUUUGAACAGCAAAGCUCCACAGGGGAUCUUUCCAGCAUCUCAGGAUCAGAUGACACAGACUCCAGCAGUGAAGAGGACUUGCUGCCACUGGAUGAGGGGAGGGCUGAAUCCGAGAAACCUAACCGGCCCCCCGGAUUCUACCCACAUCGGGUCCUUUUCAAAAACGCCCAGGGCCAGUUUCUUUAUGCCUAUCGUUGUGUCCUAGGCCCUCACCAGGCAAGUAACAGUCCAGAUUGUGUGCUCACUCCCAACUUUUGUAUACUAGGUUUUCCUCAGCCAAUGUAUGUCUUAUUUUCUUCCUUUUGAGUAAGGCUAUAUCAUACCUGACAGCAUAAUCUUGAACUGGCCAGAAUCUUGAAUGGGUCAAGUGAUUUAAGUCUAAAUUGUGAUUAUGUCAUUCCCAUCUUCCACUACUACCUCUUGAAGCCAUGAGUAGUAUCCUUUGUAAAAUGGAAAUGAGGGCAAGAUGGUUGUAAUAAAUGAGAUAAUUCAAUAUAACACUUGGUUUCUUGUUUUCAAUGCAUGCAGCAUGUGGAAUGUUUGUUGAUGUGUCAUCUAGAUUCCCCCAGAAAAGGCAGAAUUGCUACUACAAAACCUACAGAAUGGAGGUCCCAGAUACUACGUGGUGCUCAUGGCUGCGGCUGGACAUUUUGCUGGUGCCAUUUUUCAAGGGUGAGAGAGUGUUGCAUGGGGUAAGGAUGGACCCCACUAACCUGGGAGUACUGCCAGGUCUACAGUACUGAGUCUGUGCUGUCUACAGAAGAGAAGUGGUGGCACACAAAACCUUUCACCGUUACACUGUGCGGGCCAAGCGGGGCACAGCCCAGGGGCUUCAGGAUGCCCAUGGUAGGGCAUCCCGCUCUGCUGGAGCCAACUUGAGGCGUUACAAUGAAGCCAUGCUCUAUAAGGUGAGUUGGGCCUCACAGAUCUGGUAGUCCACUCAUCUCAUGUUUUUCUAGUUUUCUGGGAAGACAAUAGUAAUUUCCAGAAACAUUCUCUCAUUCUUCCUCUUAUCUUACCCUCCCUUCGUAUGAUCGUAGGACCAUUGUUGGUUUGGAGAUUUUUUUUAAAGCAGCAGAUGAAGCUGUGCUAAGUGGAGUUACUCUCUUUAGGAUGUUCGCAACCUGCUGGCGGGGCCAAUCUGGUCCAAGGCACUAGGGGAGGCAGAAACAGUAUUGUUCCGAGCACCACGCUCUGGCCGGUCCUUGUUCUUUGGAGGCCAAGGGGCACCCCUACAAAGGGAUGAUCCCCGACUUUGGGAUAUCCCUCUCACCACCCGCAGACCCACUUUUGGAGAGCUCCAGCGUGUACUCCAUAAGCUGACCACCUUGCAGGUGUAUGAUGAAGACCCUCGAGAAAUGGUCAGAUUUCACUCUCCUGAGACACACUGGAAACCAGUGAGAGAAGAGAGGAAAAAGGAUACUGAGAAAGAAAAAACAAAGGUCCCCAGUGAUGCAAAUAAGCCCCUUGGGCAGGAUGAAGAACCACUCAAACAAGGUUUGGGCACCAUCUGCCUAUCUGCCUGGGAAAUGCAGUGGCCAGUUCUCAUAACUGCCCUUAACCUAUACCCACGUCCGUCCAUCCAUCCACUCAUCCCUGUUCAGAGUCUCAGGAAGAAGAUGGUUCCGAAGUAGAGUUGGAGCUAGUAGAAUUGACCCUGGGGACCCUGGAUCUUCGUGAAUUUGAAGUACUGCCCAAGCGGAGGAGGAGGAGGAAGAAGAAGGAGAGAAGUCAAGAGCAGCAGUGUGGGGCACAUGGGCCUCUUCCUCAGCAACCUCAAGAUGAGCCGUUCUCACAGCCAACCCAAGAGGUUGAAACCCCAUUGGAUACUUUGGUCUAUGAGGCCAAAGCCCCUGGUCAGCCAGAGCUCUGGGACACGCUUCUAGCUGCUUGUCGUGCUGGGGAAGUUGAGGUGCUAAAGCUGCAGCUAGCCACUGGGCUGGUAGACCCUGGAGUUAAGUCCCUGCUCAAUGCCCCUUUGGGCUCCGGUGGCUUUACUCUCCUGCAUGCAGCAGCCGCAGCUGGAAGAGGCUUAGUAGUUCGUUUGCUGUUGGAAGCAGGUGCUGAUCCUACUGUGCAGGACUCUAGGGCUCGGCCACCUUAUACUGUAGCAGCUGACAAAUCAACGCGUAAUGAAUUCCGGAGGUUCAUGGAGAAGAAUCUUGAUGCCUAUGAUUACAACAAGGCUCGGGUGCCAGGGCCAUUGACUCAAGAAAUGGAGGCCCGGCAGGCUACAAGGAAAAAAGAGCAGAAGGCAGCUCGACGGCAACGGGAGCAACAGCAGCGGAAGCAGAGGGAGCAGGAAGAACAAGAGCAAGAGGAACAACGGCGGUUUGCUGCCCUCAGUGACCGGGAGAAGAGAGCUCUGGCUGCAGAGCGCCGACUUGCUGCCCAGUUGGGAGCCCCUAGCCCUCCAGUUCCUGACUCUGCAGUUGCUAGUGCUGGACGCUGCUGGAGUUGUGGAGUGUCCCUCCAAGGCCUCAUUCCCUUUCACUACCUCGACUUCUCUUUCUGCUCCACACGUUGCCUUCGAGACCAUCGCAGUCAGGCGGGGAGACCUUCAUCUUGAUUUCUUUCAGCACCUGGGCCAACUCUGGGUCCCAAGAGGACACAUCCAGACCUAGAGCUCUCUUCCUCCUCAUGAAGCUUGACAUUUGGAAGAUGGGUGGUGAAGGACACCCAGGAAUCGAGGCAAAGACAGGGCCACGAAGGUGUGUGGAGCCAGUACUGUCUUUGGAAUUUUAAUCAUAAUAAAGUUUGGCAAGAAAA